Non-coding RNA from Caenorhabditis elegans, 128 nucleotides. Lineage: Eukaryota; Metazoa; Nematoda; Chromadorea; Rhabditida; Rhabditidae. The record is from Ensembl.
GCUUUUUGGCGAAUUUUUGAUAGCAGUGGCUCGGAGAUGAGGAAUGAGACGUUGAGGACAUCUUGGCUGAAAUAAAAAUGCUAAAUUUUCAAAAAUUUAUAGAACUCUCUGAAUAUUCUCACAAUUUU